AUACCGGUACUUGACUUCGUGUGUUGUUUUGUCUGUCCAUACCAUAGCCUAGCGACUGUCAUUAUCACAACUCAUGCACUUGCAAGUACAUGUAACAGCUUAGUUGCAUAGUGCGUCGGCAGAAAAGGAGGUGACGCGUCGACGAAGGAUCUGUUGCUUGCAUGCCAUAUUCAUCUCCAUCUAUAUCUCCGAUGAUUCGGCCGGCUCGAUUUUAGUUCCCAACACGCCGAGUUCCGUUGGUAGAAUUGUGGACUGUACUAGUCUGUAGUGGAAUGAUGCUGAGCAGUAUGGACGGUGGAUUCUACUUGCUAGGAAUCACACCAGACUCCACACGAUGCUAAUGGCGCUGACGGGUAUUGUUCAAUCAUCGCCCAAGUGCAAAUCCGACUGUCGACGGAUCGCAGUCUCCGACUAACGACUAGUACACAGUCACCAUGGUCACUGUAAAGUAAAAUGCGGAGGUCGUGCCUCAAAACAUCGGUUUUGACAAGCAAGCCCUGGUAUCUACGGAGAUUCGACGUGGCGCCAUGGUGUGUGUGACCUGCUCGAGUUCAUCAGAGAGGGGAGGACCGCACGGAUGUUCAGCCCUAGGCCAGGGUAUAAUGGUUAUCAUGUCAACAAUGGUCAACGUCCACUCAGCAUUGACAACCUGGCCUUACACGCAGCCGACAGCCUGUGUCAACGAGUCAUGUGGGACGUCAGUCCGGUCGCCAUCUGCGUCUACGUGGGUGGACAAAAUACCAAGAUCAGUACGGACUUCAGUAGCGGCGUGUGCACUUUCAUUUAUAAAAAUACGUAGGUGCGAGCAAGACUGAGACUCCAGGAAGCUGCGGACAAGGCUACACAGUAAAAUACUGUUGUAAUCUCCAAGUGGCAGUUACUGAUGGCAACGCUAAAGUUAAUGCGGCAUCCCAACAACCGGGCUGAUACAUCACUCGGUACUGGUGCUGCACACAAUACAUCGGCUGCUCUGGCUGGGCCAUGUUGUUCGCGAAGGACGUAACUCAGCGUCCUACCAAGCACUGGAGAUGGCAAUUAAUACCCGGGACAUCAAGCGCCCACGUGGCCGACCCCAUCUCAGAUGGAUUGACAAUAUUAAAAAUGAUCUAAAGCACGCCAAUAUUGAUAUUUCUGACUGUCAAAAGUUUGAACUGGCUCUAGACAAGAAAAAAUGGCUGAUGCUUGUGGAAAAAUGUGCUGCGUUUGCGUAGUUGUUCUUACUGCGAUACGUUCUAACAAUAAUGAGAUGCCUUUUGUUGGCUCUUCUGCCUGGAUUUCGUUGACAGAUGCGUUAAAGCCCAUGGAUCCUUCCAUGAGUGACAUGCGAACUGUAACUAUUAUUAUUAUUCUGCCAAACCUAAUCACUCCAUUGACUUUUGUAUACAGUGGCUUACCGGUACCUAUAUAUAAUAGGGCUUGAAAGUGCUACGUCACAGCAUAGCAACAAUUUCAAAAAUUCAAAAAUUGGAUCCACUUGGAUCCAGUUUUUGUAUGGAUCCAAGCACAUUU
Long non-coding RNA from Sycon ciliatum, 1509 nucleotides. RefSeq lists it as uncharacterized. The record is from RefSeq and is a predicted model, not a curated record. NCBI's taxonomy places the organism in Eukaryota, Metazoa, Porifera, Calcarea, Leucosolenida, Sycettidae. The transcript has 4 exons.